UCACUGUAAUUGUACGCCGAUAAUGACGC
Molecule: non-coding RNA, 29 nt
Filed under: Bombyx mori (domestic silkworm)
Lineage: Eukaryota; Metazoa; Arthropoda; Insecta; Lepidoptera; Bombycidae
Source: RNAcentral